This 484-nucleotide ribosomal RNA is filed under the name uncultured bacterium. Its description in RNAcentral is "partial 16S ribosomal RNA". It matches the Rfam family "Bacterial small subunit ribosomal RNA", at positions 28 to 507 of the family's 1533-position model. The record is from RNAcentral.
GAUUAAUGCUAGCGGCAGGCAUAAUACAUGCAAGUUGAACGGCAGCACAGGUAGCAAUACUGGGUGGCGAGUGGCGCACGGGUGCGUAACACGUAUGCAACCUACCCUAUACAGGCGAAUAACCUUUAGAAAUGAGGGCUAAUACGCCGUAGUAUUACAGAUGGGCAUCUAUUUGUAAUUAAAGAUUUAUCGGUAUAGGAUGGGCAUGCGUCCCAUUAGUUAGUUGGUAAGGUAACGGCUUACCAAGACGAUGAUGGGUAGGGGAUCUGAGAGGACUUACCCCCACACUGGUACUGAGACACGGACCAGACUCCUACGGGAGGCAGCAGUAAGGAAUAUUGGGCAAUGGCCGCGAGGCUGACCCAGCCAUGCCGCGUGCAGGAAGACGGCCUUAUGGGUUGUAAACUGCUUUUAUACGGGAAUAAUAGAGUGUACGCGUACAUUUAUGCAAGUAUCGUAUGAAUAAGCAUCGGCUAACUCCGUG